GACGGGGGGGGGGCAGGCGUUACCCAUCAUGACUGGGCGUAAAGGGUCCGUAGACAUUAAAGUAAGUUACUUUUGAAAUUAUUAAAUAAUAUUUAAUAAACAUUUGUAAUAUGCUUUAAUUUGAGUUUUUAUACAGAAAGAGUAGAAUUUUGAUAAGUAAGGUUGAAAUCUUUAGAUAUAUAAAAGGAAUUCCAGAAGCGAAGGCGACUCUUUUAGUAAAAAACUGACGUUGAGGGACGAAAAGUGUAGGGAGCAAACAGG
This 261-nucleotide ribosomal RNA is filed under the name uncultured bacterium. RNAcentral describes it as "partial 16S ribosomal RNA". It matches the Rfam family "Bacterial small subunit ribosomal RNA", at positions 522 to 776 of the family's 1533-position model. The record is from RNAcentral.